GCGGAUAAGGCCAAUAGAUGGCUUGACUAAUACCUCCAGUAAAGGUAUUAGAUGCGAAAGCAUGUCCCAGCGAUCCUUUAGUUUCUGCAGCAAUGCAGGAUCUCAAAGUUUGAGGCUAGAGGUGUCAGAAAAAUUACCAUAGGGAUAACUGGCUUGUGGCCGCCAAGGCUUCAUAGCGACGUGGCUUUUUGAUCCUUCGAUGUCGGCUCUUCCUAUCAUUGCGAAGCAGAAUUCGCAAAGUGUUGGAUUGUUCACCCACU
RNAcentral lists this ribosomal RNA (260 nucleotides) under Naegleria morganensis. Its description in RNAcentral is "partial LSU". It matches the Rfam family "Eukaryotic large subunit ribosomal RNA", at positions 2699 to 2941 of the family's 3401-position model. The record is from RNAcentral. Lineage: Eukaryota; Heterolobosea; Eutetramitea; Acrasida; Naegleriidae.